RNAcentral lists this long non-coding RNA (1167 nucleotides) under Chrysolophus pictus (golden pheasant). Its description in RNAcentral is "lncRNA (ENSCPIG00010000045.1)". The record is from RNAcentral. Lineage: Eukaryota; Metazoa; Chordata; Aves; Galliformes; Phasianidae.
CAAAGACAGGAUAUUGAUCCAUUCAUGACACCGUGAGUCAAAACAAGAGAGGAAAAACUCCAAUUAGCGAAGCACCCGCGGUGGUGAACCAUUGAGUCUCCUCUGCUGGAGCUCACCUUGUUUCCGGAGGAAAAACUCCAGCUCCCUAUAAAAGACCUCAUAACCAUUUCUCCUCAUUCUCUCAUCUUCACAUCUCCUCUUGUGCUCCCACCGAACAGAGUAAGUCUGGCUCCUCGCAGUGCUGUGCUUUACGCGCUCUCCAGCUUUGCCCCUAUCUCAAAUUCUUGGCCUUCUCUCACGCUUCUCGUCUCCACUUCUCUCUCUGGAUGCAUUUGCUUAUUCCUUGUGGCUUCCUUAUCUUGUCCUGUAUGGAAAUAAUAGAGAGAAGUGAGAAAAACUCAGAAUUUGCUGCUUCAAACUGCUGAUGGUGAGACUCUUCCAGUCAAGCUCUAGAUCCUUUCUGGCCACCACUUCUCACUCAUCCCUGAGCGCUCUAACAUCUACCUUCUGUCUUUGCUAAGCACUGAGGUGAAAGAUUUGCUCAAAAGAGGGCAUGGAGGGCGAUGAGCACUGCUAAUUUUAAUCCACAUUCCAAGAACCAGGCCUAUAAAGAUCAUCUGUUCUUGAUCCAUAAUCUUGCCUUUGCAAGACUCAAAGGUGAUGGUCUUUCCUGCAGGUCUGCAAAGAUGUGCUCCCGCCAGGACAAGGACCAGUGCCACCGACAGGACCAGUCCUCGUGCCACAGCAGUGAGGGGUGUGGAGGGGGCAGCGGGGGCUCCGGGUGCCAUGGGAGCAGUGGAUCCAGGUGCCAUAGCAGCAGUGGAGCAGUGGAUCUGGAUGCCAUAGGAGCAGUGGAUCUGGAUGCCAUGGGAGCAGCGGGGGAUCCUGCCAUGGAAAGCCACAAGAUUGUCAGCAGCAAAUUUAUCAAGUAUCCUCAAAUAUGAAGUGACCAGGACAUCUCCUGCUGUUCUGCACAAGUUCAGGAAUCCUUGCAUGUCUCCCAGCACUCAAAGAACAUAAUUUCUCUUCUCUCCCCCCACUUCCCCAGCCAGUCUUGAAUAUCCAAUGGGUUUAUCUGUGGGCACCAGAAAUGCACUGCACGUGUUCACGCUGGCGCGGUGUUCUCUCUAUCCAUCUUUGACAAUAAACGAGCCAUUGCAAUUUGCA